Small nuclear RNA from Dasypus novemcinctus (nine-banded armadillo), 108 nucleotides. Lineage: Eukaryota; Metazoa; Chordata; Mammalia; Cingulata; Dasypodidae. The record is from Ensembl.
AUACUCGCUUUGGGCAGCACAUAUACUAAAAUUGGAACGAUACAGGGAAGAUUAGUAAGGCCCCUGCGCAAGGAUGACACGCAAAUUCAUGAAGCAUUCGAUAUUUUU